CCCGAAGACCGCACCUCUCCUCCUCGCUCGCUCCUCCUCCUCCCCGCGUCCUGGCAGGAGCUCCUCCCCGCUGCCGCCGCUCCUCCGCGCCAUGCCGUAGCCGCCGCCGGGUCCUUCUUCUUUCCCACCUCCGGGUCUUGCUUCUUCCCCAUCCCCACCGACACGGCCGACCUCUUCGCUCAUGCCUCCUCCUCCCUGCUGCCGCCGCUCUGCCGCAUCCUUGCCGGAGCUCUGCCGGAGCUCCGCCGGACUCUUACUCGGAGCCGCCGCCGGAGCAGGCCUCGGCCCCUCAUCAAUCCACUCCACCGUGUAGUCGCUGUCCUGUGCCCCUUUGCAGCUUCACUGCCGAGGCCAACAUCCAGGUUGCCAGACCACCACCUUCUUCAACACCAUAUUGUGGCCCUUGACUUCUGCCUGAUUGCCGUCACAGAGACGUUCAUCAACCCUAGGUGGCCAUGGUACCACGAUGCUGCGGUGAUUGCUGAUACUAUUCCUGUUAUGUCAUGCUUGAUGCUGAAUCACGAGGGAUUCUCCAAGAGUUGGAAGCUGUCAAACAGCACUAGGCAGUCAAGUUGUAGAAAUGGUGAAAAGUAUGGAGAAGCUGCAGUCAAGUUGCUUGCCGCUACAUUACGAGUAACAUGUGAUUUUUCAUCUGAAGACCAAUCCAGAAAUAUUGGGACAAUUUGACUGAAUAACUGCUAAUUAUAACCAAUGUUUUGCUCGAAGUGUUAUUGGAUGUUUUCAUUAGUGGUACAGGUUGCUUACGUAAUCUAUGAUCAAUGGGCGCUUGCUGAUAAAAGAAUGCAUAUAAAUAACAAUUGGUGGAGGCAGAAAAGGAGGCUGGUCAAGUCAGCCUCCUGCAAUUAUGUCACUGGUAUUAUGCUUUCCUAUAGCUGAUCUUUUCCCUCUUCGGUCAUGUUCUGUUCUGUUCUGCUUACCACACCUCUCCUCCUCCCCAAAAAAAAGAUAUGGAACAUCAUCAUGUAGAAACUAAAAUUUAAGUUGACUCAAAUUAAGUAGAAAACAUGCUAGAACGAAGUAUCCCUCCCUCACUGCUGACAAAAGGAAUGAGUGCUUCAAAAGAAUUGAGAGUACAUGUAGCGGUCCUAGCAGAAGAAAGGAAGCAUAUGGAGCAAUAAAUUGGUCUGCCUCUAUUACUAUUAGAGGUAAGCUGAAAAUGAUUAUAAUCUCAUUUGGAUACAGUUAGCAUAAAUAUGUAAGUCAUAAACUCACAGUGGUGCAGUAUAAAUUUUUUUAUAUGAAUUUUGAAUAGCAACCCGAUAUGACACCCAUGCACAUUACAUUUACAGAGAGCAUAUGACAUGCUUGCAAUGAUCAAAAUUCCGAAGAAAUGUGCGGUUGUUGUCGUUAUGAGCUGUGAGGCCCAGCAAGCAGAGCAGAUUAGUGUGAUUUAUUGAUUCUAUAUGUUAAAAUUGAUAUACUACAUCAUGUUUCUAUGUUUUGUAGUGCAGACUUUUUCUAGAGAUAAUUUGUGUAUCCAUUCAAUAAUAUUUUUUUCUACAGCUAAUUCAGGCAAACAACAAUGCUGGGAUGAUUUUUAUAAGUAGGACAUGAACGCUAGAAAGCUAAAUUGACACCCUGGUGCCUCCCGUUUAUAGAUGUCACCAACAAGUAAGAGUGUUCCUCUUGUGUUUAUAUUGGAAUAUUGUUAUUGCUUCUAUCUGUAAAACCUGAAAAAUCUGAAACCAUUCCUAUGCUGAAUAAUAGAAGAUAUAAAAUGAAUAUGUGUCGCCAUUGCAUCCUUAUAUUUAUUUCUUCAAUCCACAAUUAACUAUCUAAACCACUUUUUUAUUUUAAUUCACACAAAUUAUUUUCGUUGCUGGUUUUAGUAUGAAUAUUUUGAUAUAUCUCCGCGCAAAAAAGGAUUUUGAUAUAGCUAUAUGCAUGUGCAUUGCCAUUCGAUUCCUUUUCCAAUAUGUAACAGUAGUCAUUGUAAAUAUACUUUCAUAUUGUUUCUCUCUGUUGGGGCAAGAACUCUGAAAAAUGAUAUUUGGGGUGGUUGAUAAGCUCACCAGGUAAAAAGGUAGAAACCAUGUAAAGAAAACUUCCUUCAAUUUAGUUUGUAUGGGCAUUAAUAAGUUACCUAAAACAAAUACUAAGUAAAUGAUGAGUAUAACCCUAAUCCUCUCAUUUUAGUCUUCAUUUUAGAUAAGUAUUCCUUAUUGAAUGUAAAACUGAAGUUACACUGAUGCAUGAAUACAUAAUUAUUCUAUGGGAUUGGUUGUUAUUUGUACUACUGAGUACUGACCAUUCUCUCAUGAUAUAUGAACAGAGCAUAUGCUCCUAGCAAGAAAUGUGGCAUGGGUGAGUUUAUUGUCUUGCUUUCACCAUGUAUGGAAUGUGGCAUGUGAGUUUAUACUCUUUCUUUCACCAUGUUGACUUUUUGCACAUUUAUAGAAUCUUUUGGUAUGAUGCUUUUUGUCGAUUCACAUGUUUUAUUAAUUAUUAACGACCAGCUGCAUAGGAAAACUGAAGAUGUACAUGGUUGAAAAGCCUAUAACAUUAUUACUAUGUUCAUUUAUCUACAAUCGUUUGGAUUUAAGAGUUUCCAGGAUAAUUUACUAAGGUGGUUAUCUCUGGUAAUUAGUUUCUUGUCUUCAUCUACUCCUUUUAUACCAGAAAAAAUAAUUAUUGGAUGAUGAUAAUAUACUAAGGCCUACUGCAGAUGUUGUGACUAAUAUUGCACAUCUUCAGUGCAUGCUUCUCUAGGGUGGACACUGUUUAUUCCCGACAGUUCUUAAUCACUUAGAAAUAGAGUUAUGGAAUUCAGCAACAUAUGUGAUUUGAUCUGAAAGAAUCAUCAAAGAGUUCAUCUUCGUGUAAGCUUAUAUUAUAAAAGAUUUUA
This 2866-nucleotide long non-coding RNA is filed under the name Oryza sativa Indica Group (long-grained rice). RNAcentral's name for it is "lncRNA OsKYG_04g0019620". Lineage: Eukaryota; Viridiplantae; Streptophyta; Magnoliopsida; Poales; Poaceae. The record is from RNAcentral. RNAcentral also lists the same sequence under 1 other name.